RNAcentral lists this ribosomal RNA (253 nucleotides) under uncultured bacterium. RNAcentral describes it as "partial 16S ribosomal RNA". It matches the Rfam family "Bacterial small subunit ribosomal RNA", at positions 524 to 776 of the family's 1533-position model. The record is from RNAcentral.
UACGGAGGUCCCAAGCGUUGUUCGGAUUCACUGGGCGUAAAGGGUGCGUAGGCGGUCGGGUAAGUCUGAUGUGAAAUCUCACAGCUUAACUGUGAAACUGCAUUGGAUACUAUCCGGCUCGAGGAAUGGAGGGGAGACUGGAAUACUUGGUGUAGCAGUGAAAUGCGUAGAUAUCAAGUGGAACACCAGUGGCGAAGGCGAGUCUCUGGACAUUUCCUGACGCUGAGGCACGAAAGCCAGGGGAGCAAACGGG